Aegilops tauschii subsp. strangulata is the source of this 291-nucleotide long non-coding RNA. RefSeq lists it as uncharacterized. NCBI's taxonomy places the organism in Eukaryota, Viridiplantae, Streptophyta, Magnoliopsida, Poales, Poaceae. The record is from RefSeq and is a predicted model, not a curated record.
ACAUUUGGAGAACUGGAAAACGAAGCUACACGAAAUGAAGAAUGUGCAGCAGAACAGAACCCGUGGUGGCAUGCAGACCUGUUUGGCACCAUGAACUUGGAACAGGUGACUGAAGACGAUGACCCUCCAUGCUAAACAAGUUCACACACACCAGAAGAAAUAAAACAUAAUCAAUAGCAAUAAAGAAAAUGAAUAAUACACAAACAAAUACCUGCAAAUGAACUGUAGGACAAAAAGCCUUCAGUGGCCUCUUCCCGUAAGAGCGGUUAUUAUUCUAUCAAGCUCUGCAAA